AUAUACGUGGCCGGGAGAAAAAUCGUCGAGCCUCUGGGACCAGGGUAUAAAAAUCGUUAUUUWAAAAAAAAAUUGUAUUUUCUCUAAAAAGGUGGAGGGAAACGAUGAAACAUGAAAAAGAAAGAAUGCUGAAAGAAAGGAAAGGAAAUGCAAGGAAGUAAAGGAAAGCAGAAGGGAAAUAAAUUGGAGUUUAAUGCCAAUGACUCAAAGAAUCGCCAACGAGGGAGACUAUGCUAGCAGGGAAGUAAUACGAUUUCUUUCCAAUUCAAAACGUUUUGUCUCAGUUGUCUCUGAGUAAAAACAUAUUCAAUAUACAAGUGUUUCUUUCUCUUUUUCUUUUUACUGAUAAAUUAUGCUUYUGUGAAUUUAUAAAGUAUUCCUUUUUUUCUUCCUGUGGCUUUUAUUCAAGAUGAUACGUUGUUUUGGUCUGGUCAAAGUUUGGCCGCAGACGUCUUGAUUUGGUGAUAUGCGACGUGGUCCUAAAGAAAAACAUCUUGAAUCAAUAUAUGAUAUUUCAAAAUUAAAAUGAUUCAAUAGACUGAUAGAGAGAGUUAUCAAGACAAAAAAAUGCAUGUUAAAGAAUUUUGAAUAAAUACCCAUCAAUGUAGAAUUCUAACAUAUUAUUCUACUGUAGACCCUAAAGGUUGAAUUUUUGAAAAGGGGCCAAACCAUGGUCAUAACAUGUUCAAAACAUGGUACAAUGUAUCACGUA
Actinia tenebrosa (Australian red waratah sea anemone) is the source of this 712-nucleotide long non-coding RNA. RefSeq lists it as uncharacterized. NCBI's taxonomy places the organism in Eukaryota, Metazoa, Cnidaria, Anthozoa, Actiniaria, Actiniidae. The record is from RefSeq and is a predicted model, not a curated record.